Long non-coding RNA from Lagenorhynchus albirostris (white-beaked dolphin), 377 nucleotides. RefSeq lists it as uncharacterized. NCBI's taxonomy places the organism in Eukaryota, Metazoa, Chordata, Mammalia, Artiodactyla, Delphinidae. The record is from RefSeq and is a predicted model, not a curated record. The transcript has 3 exons.
AUUGCUAGAAAUAUGAGAACUCUCCAGAAGAUCAAGUACCGUGUAGUAGUUACCAUGCACAGGCCCCAUAGAGCCCUGGCCUUGGAGAAUGCCCUAUUCACCAACCCAAAAGAAGGUCCCAUGUGACAAAGUUUGGAUUAGACAUUACAAAUGGCUUCCAAUGGACUACUUGCCAGACUUUGUCAUGGGAACCAUCUGACGAGCAGAACAAAGUGCAAGUGCAUAAGCAACUUCCAAUGAGAACCUCUGUAUGGGCUUGGCCCAGGUAUCUUGAAACCCUGGGAAGACCUAAAUAUAAACAAAAUUUUGCAAAGGAGAAGGGAAUCAUGAACAAAUCACCUUUCUAUAAGACACCAUAAACGAUGACUGGAGAUCUG